Molecule: ribosomal RNA, 466 nt
Filed under: uncultured bacterium
Lineage: Bacteria
Description: partial 16S ribosomal RNA
Rfam family: Bacterial small subunit ribosomal RNA
Source: RNAcentral
GACGAACGCUGGCGGCGCGCCUAACACAUGCAAGUCGAACGAGCGAGAGAGAGCUUGCUUUCUUGAGCGAGUGGCGAACGGGUGAGUAACGCGUGAGGAACCUGCCUCAAAGAGGGGGACAACAGUUGGAAACGACUGCUAAUACCGCAUAAGCCCACGGUGCCGCAUGGCACAGAGGGAAAAGGAGCAAUCCGCUUUGAGAUGGCCUCGCGUCCGAUUAGCUAGUUGGUGAGGUAACGGCCCACCAAGGCGACGAUCGGUAGCCGGACUGAGAGGUUGAACGGCCACAUUGGGACUGAGACACGGCCCAGACUCCUACGGGAGGCAGCAGUGGGGAAUAUUGCACAAUGGGGGAAACCCUGAUGCAGCGACGCCGCGUGGAGGAAGAAGGUCUUCGGAUUGUAAACUCCGGUUGUUGGGGAAGAUAAUGACGGUACCCAACAAGGAAGUGACGGCUAACUACGUG